This 1043-nucleotide long non-coding RNA is filed under the name Struthio camelus australis. RNAcentral describes it as "lncRNA (ENSSCUG00000012217.1)". The record is from RNAcentral. Lineage: Eukaryota; Metazoa; Chordata; Aves; Struthioniformes; Struthionidae.
GAAAUUAAAGACUUUAUAGCCACUAACAAAUGUUUCUGUUUUUAACUUUGACUAUGUAGGUGCACUUCUUCAUGCUUACAAUACCUGCUUUGUUAGAAGAAAUGACAUCUCUCUCUUUUUCUUUCUUUCUGGUGACCUGUUCAGUUUGAGGAUGUCGGAUUCAGUUAAUCAUUAGGUUAUGUGAUGUGAUUAUAGUAUUGUAGUAUUCAAACAGGAUGAAAAUGUGUGGUUAAUCAGAUAUUUCUGCACAAAAAGUUCGUGGGUUAGUAAACCAACUAUAAAUUGGUUAGUUUCUCAUUUGGUUAAUAACAUCAUGUUGUGUUUGCUUUUUUAGGUCACAUUUGGGUUGUCUUGUGGAACCUUCCUAGAAAACAGGAAUAAUAGUAAGAAAAAUGUUUAAUAAAAGUAACUUCACUGAACAGUCAGACUGAAACAGGAGCAGGUUCUCUGGAAUGGUGAGUUCUCUUAUCUCGCGUUGUCCAGCAAGAAUUGGAAAGGUGUAGAGGUAAGUUGUUCUGGCUUUAUUGGAGAAGUGGGUUACAGUAGUCUCUUACAACACCACUUAUCGCUUUGUCAGCUGCAAAGCAAUGGAUGGAUGAAGAGGAGGUUAAUGCUUCAGUGAACAGUGAUUGGAGAGAAAAAACGUCUGUAGACAGUGGUAAUAGAGGACUUUGAAGGUCAGAAAAGCUAGAUGUAGUAUUAAGAGUAGUUAAAAAAUUAUUUCAAAUAUAAAGGACAAGUAGUCAGGGGGCCAAGGAAAAGUGAAUUGAAGUAGAUACUAGCACAGCGGGUUUCCUUCAGCCCUGCAGUGGAAGUAGUUUUCACAGUGAGUUGAAUUCAUAGCAGAUGAUCUGUCUUUUCACAAACAGUUUUAAUUGUUUUAUGUUCCAGUUCGUCUGGAAGUUUUAAUGCUUCCUAUGGAAGUUUCUGACUGUUAUUUAAAACGGAAAUGGUUAGGCUGAUACAUUAGGUUGGUUAGACUUUUUUCUUCUUGUAACUUAUUGUUAAUCAUAUAAACACCUGAACAGAAGUACUUUACCCAG